GACGAACGCUGGCGGCGUGCCUAAUACAUGCAAGUCGAGCGGACGGAUGGGAGCUUGCUCCCAGACCGUCAGCGGCGGACGGGUGAGUAACACGUGGGCAACCUGCCUGUAAGACUGGGAUAACUCCGGGAAACCGGGGCUAAUACCGGAUAACUCUUUCCCUCACAUGAGGGAAAGCUGAAAGAUGGCAUCUCGCUAUCACUUACAGAUGGGCCCGCGGCGCAUUAGCUAGUUGGUGAGGUAACGGCUCACCAAGGCGACGAUGCGUAGCCGACCUGAGAGGGUGAUCGGCCACACUGGGACUGAGACACGGCCCAGACUCCUACGGGAGGCAGCAGUAGGGAAUCUUCCGCAAUGGACGAAAGUCUGACGGAGCAACGCCGCGUGAGUGAUGAAGGUUUUCGGAUCGUAAAACUCUGUUGUCAGGGAAGAACAAGUACCGGAGUAACUGCCGGUACCUUGACGGUACCUGACCAGAAAGCCACGGCUAACUACG
Molecule: ribosomal RNA, 496 nt
Filed under: uncultured bacterium
Lineage: Bacteria
Description: partial 16S ribosomal RNA
Rfam family: Bacterial small subunit ribosomal RNA
Source: RNAcentral